UGGGGAAUUUUGGACAAUGGGGGCAACCCUGAUCCAGCGACGCCGCGUGAAGGAUGAAGGUCUUCGGAUUGUAAACUUCUUUUGGAGGGGAUGAAUGACCUGGUGAAUAGCCAGGAGUGACAGUACUCUCUGAAUAAGCCACGGCUAACUACGUGCCAGCAGCCGCGGUAAUACGUAGGUGGCAAGCGAUACUCGGAAUCACUAGGCGUAAAGCGCAGGUAGGAGGUUUGGAAAGUCUCUUGUGAAAGCUCCCGGCUUAACUGGGAGAGGUCAAGGGAAACUACCAGGCUAGAGUGCGGUAGAGGUAGCUGGAAUUCCCGGUGUAGCGGUGAAAUGCGUAGAUAUCGGGAGGAAUACCUAUGGCGAAAGCAGGCUACUGGACCGUCACUGACUCUGAUCUGCGAAAGCUAGGGGAGCAAACAGGAUUAGAUACCCGCGUAGUCC
Molecule: ribosomal RNA, 444 nt
Filed under: uncultured bacterium
Lineage: Bacteria
Description: bacterial SSU rRNA
Rfam family: Bacterial small subunit ribosomal RNA
Source: RNAcentral